GAUGAACGCUGGCGGCGUGCUUAACACAUGCAAGUCGAACGAUGAAGCCCAGCUUGCUGGGUGGAUUAGUGGCGAACGGGUGAGUAACACGUGAGUAACCUGCCCUUAACUCUGGGAUAAGCCUGGGAAACUGGGUCUAAUACCGGAUAGGAGCGUCCACCGCAUGGUGGGUGUUGGAAAGAUUUAUCGGUUUUGGAUGGACUCGCGGCCUAUCAGCUUGUUGGUGAGGUAAUGGCUCACCAAGGCGACGACGGGUAGCCGGCCUGAGAGGGUGACCGGCCACACUGGGACUGAGACACGGCCCAGACUCCUACGGGAGGCAGCAGUGGGGAAUCUUAGACAAUGGGGGCAACCCUGAUCUAGCCAUGCCGCGUGAGUGAUGAAGGCCUUAGGGUUGUAAAGCUCUUUCAGCUGGGAAGAUAAUGACGGUACCAGCAGAAGAAGCCCCGGCUAACUCCGUG
This 461-nucleotide ribosomal RNA is filed under the name uncultured bacterium. RNAcentral's name for it is "partial 16S ribosomal RNA". It matches the Rfam family "Bacterial small subunit ribosomal RNA", at positions 28 to 507 of the family's 1533-position model. The record is from RNAcentral.